AGAGUUUGAUCAUGGCUCAGGACGAACGCUGGCGGCGUGCUUAACACAUGCAAGUCGAACGAAGCUUGAUUACGGAUUCUUCGGAUGAAGUAAGAUAUGACUGAGUGGCGGACGGGUGAGUAACGCGUGAGUAACCUGCCCUUCAGAGGGGGAUAGCGUUUGGAAACGAACGGUAAUACCACAUAAUGUAUUUUGACCGCAUGAUCGAAAUACCAAAGAUUUAUCGCUGAAGGAUGGACUCGCGUCUGAUUAGGUAGUUGGUGGGGUAACGGCCUACCAAGCCGACGAUCAGUAGCCGGACUGAGAGGUUGAUCGGCCACAUUGGGACUGAGACACGGCCCGGACUCCUACGGGAGGCAGCAGUGGGGAAUAUUGCACAAUGGGCGCAAGCCUGAUGCAGCAACGCCGCGUGAAGGAAGACGGUUUUCGGAUUGUAAACUUCUGUUCUUAGUGAAGAAUAAUGACGGUAGCUAAGGAGCAAGCCACGGCUAACUACGUGCCAGCAGCCGCGGUAAUACGUAGGUGGCAAGCGUUGUCCGGAAUUACUGGGUGUAAAGGGAGCGCAGGCGGGUGAUCAAGUCAGCUGUGAAAACUACGGGCUUAACCCGUAGACUGCAGUUGAAACUGUUCAUCUUGAGUGAAGUAGAGGUUGGCGGAAUUCCGAGUGUAGCGGUGAAAUGCGUAGAUAUUCGGAGGAACACCGGUGGCGAAGGCGGCCAACUGGGCUUUAACUGACGCUGAGGCUCGAAAGUGUGGGGAGCAAACAGGAUUAGAUACCCUGGUAGUCCACACUGUAAACGAUGAUUGCUAGGUGUGGGGGGUCUGACCCCUUCCGUGCCGGAGCUAACGCAAUAAGCAAUCCACCUGGGGAGUACGACCGCAAGGUUGAAACUCAAAGGAAUUGACGGGGACCCGCACAAGCAGUGGAUUAUGUGGUUUAAUUCGAAGCAACGCGAAGAACCUUACCUGCUCUUGACAUCUCCCUGACCGGCAAGUAAUGUUGCCUUUCCUUCGGGACAGGGAUGACAGGUGGUGCAUGGUUGUCGUCAGCUCGUGUCGUGAGAUGUUGGGUUAAGUCCCGCAACGAGCGCAACCCCUAUCUUUAGUAGCCAGCGGUUUGGCCGGGCACUCUAGAGAGACUGCCAGGGAUAACCUGGAGGAAGGUGGGGAUGACGUCAAAUCAUCAUGCCCCUUAUGAGCAGGGCUACACACGUGCUACAAUGGCGUAAACAAAGGGAGGCAGAACCGCGAGGUCGAGCAAAUCCCAAAAAUAACGUCUCAGUUCGGAUUGUAGUCUGCAACUCGACUACAUGAAGCUGGAAUCGCUAGUAAUCGCGAAUCAGAAUGUCGCGGUGAAUACGUUCCCGGGUCUUGUACACACCGCCCGUCACACCAUGGGAGUCAGUAACGCCCGAAGUCAGUGACCCAACCGCAAGGAGGGAGCUGCCGAAGGUGGGACCGAUAACUGGGGUGAAGUCGUAACAAGGUA
This 1489-nucleotide ribosomal RNA is filed under the name metagenome. Its description in RNAcentral is "bacterial SSU rRNA". It matches the Rfam family "Bacterial small subunit ribosomal RNA". The record is from RNAcentral.